This 206-nucleotide ribosomal RNA is filed under the name uncultured bacterium. RNAcentral's name for it is "partial 16S ribosomal RNA". It matches the Rfam family "Bacterial small subunit ribosomal RNA", at positions 1294 to 1500 of the family's 1533-position model. The record is from RNAcentral.
CAGAUUGCAGGCUGNAACCCGCUUGCAUGAAGUCGGAAUUGCUAGUAAUCGCGGAUCAGCAUGCCGCGGUGAAUACGUUCCCGGGCCUUGUACACACCGCCCGUCACACCAUGGGAGCCGGUAAUACCCGAAGUCAGUAGUCCAACCACGUGAGGACGCUGCCGAAGGUAGGAUUGGCGACUGGGGUGAAGUCGUAACAAGGUACC